This 497-nucleotide ribosomal RNA is filed under the name uncultured bacterium. RNAcentral describes it as "partial 16S ribosomal RNA". It matches the Rfam family "Bacterial small subunit ribosomal RNA", at positions 28 to 507 of the family's 1533-position model. The record is from RNAcentral.
GAUGAACGCUGGCGGCGUGCCUAAUACAUGCAAGUCGAGCGAACAGACGAGGAGCUUGCUCCUCUGACGUUAGCGGCGGACGGGUGAGUAACACGUGGAUAACCUACCUAUAAGACUGGGAUAACUUCGGGAAACCGGAGCUAAUACCGGAUAAUAUAUUGAACCUCAUGGUUCAAUAGUUAAAGACGGUUUUGCUGUCACUUAUAGAUGUAUCCGCGCCGCAUUAGCUAGUUGGUAAGGUAACGGCUUACCAAGGCAACGAUGCGUAGCCGACCUGAGAGGGUGAUCGGCCACACUGGAACUGAGACACGGUCCAGACUCCUACGGGAGGCAGCAGUAGGGAAUCUUCCGCAAUGGGCGAAAGCCUGACGGAGCAACGCCGCGUGAGUGAUGAAGGUCUUCGGAUCGUAAAACUCUGUUAUUAGGGAAGAACAAAUGUGUAAGUAACUAUGCACGUCUUGACGGUACCUAAUCAGAAAGCCACGGCUAACUACGUG